AGUGAAGCGGCAAAAGCUCAAAUUUGAAAUCUGGCACCUUCGGUGUCCGAGUUGUAAUUUGAAGAAGGUAACUUUGGAGUUGGCUCUUGUCUAUGUUCCUUGGAACAGGACGUCACAGAGGGUGAGAAUCCCGUGCGAUGAGAUGCCCAAUUCUAUGUAAAGUGCUUUCGAAGAGUCGAGUUGUUUGGGAAUGCAGCUCUAAGUGGGUGGUAAAUUCCAUCUAAAGCUAAAUAUUGGCGAGAGACCGAUAGCGAACAAGUACAGUGAUGGAAAGAUGAAAAGAACUUUGAAAAGAGAGUGAAAAAGUACGUGAAAUUGUUGAAAGGGAAGGGCUUGAGAUCAGACUUGGUAUUUUGCGAUCCUUUCCUUUUUGGUUGGGUUCUCCGCAGCUUACUGGGCCAGCAUCGGUUUGGACGGUAGGAUAAUGAUUAAGGAAUGUGGCUCUGCUUCGGUGGAGUGUUAUAGCCUUGGUUGAUGCUGCCUGUCUAGACCGAGGACUGCGUCUUUUGACUAGGAUGUUGGCAUAAUGAUCUUAAGCCACCCGUCUUGAAACACGGACCA
RNAcentral lists this ribosomal RNA (561 nucleotides) under Debaryomyces maramus. RNAcentral describes it as "eukaryotic LSU rRNA". It matches the Rfam family "Eukaryotic large subunit ribosomal RNA", at positions 92 to 668 of the family's 3401-position model. Lineage: Eukaryota; Fungi; Ascomycota; Pichiomycetes; Serinales; Debaryomycetaceae. The record is from RNAcentral.